RNAcentral lists this microRNA precursor (73 nucleotides) under Myotis lucifugus (little brown bat). RNAcentral's name for it is "mir-9193 microRNA precursor family". It matches the Rfam family "mir-9193 microRNA precursor family". Lineage: Eukaryota; Metazoa; Chordata; Mammalia; Chiroptera; Vespertilionidae. The record is from Rfam by way of RNAcentral.
UGUGGGGAGGGGGGUCCCUCAGCCUGGAUUGCAAGAGGGCACAGGCCAGGCCAAGGGACCCCACCGGUGCAUG